Molecule: long non-coding RNA, 3812 nt
Organism: Panicum virgatum (switchgrass)
Lineage: Eukaryota; Viridiplantae; Streptophyta; Magnoliopsida; Poales; Poaceae
Exons: 5
Source: RefSeq, a predicted model, not a curated record
GAAGGCCGUCCACGUCGGUAAAAACGACUUCUACCGUCAGAUGGUAAAUCAACCACCUGUAUUCAUCCCACUUGCGAUGUUACUGUAGCAGUAAAUAUCUCCACUUCGAGAGCUUUCUUCGACAGCCUCGUUUUGCUCAGAUCCGGCCGCCUCAGUCUCCACCCCACGCGGCCACGCCCGUCGCCUGCUCUGAUCCGCCUCCGUUCCGGCCGCCCCCACUCCGCCGCUGUCGCUAUCUGCUCUGCGCCCCGUCUCCUCGCUCGCGGCCGGCCAAGCGGCGACCCGCGGCCGUCGCUCCCCUCACGCGGCCAUAACAGCGUCGUUGCCACCCGCCCGCGGUCGGUCCGGCAAGGCGGCGCAUGCGACCGUCCCGGCGCCAACGCUCUUCGCCCAAGGCCGGUCCGAUCCUCCGGCGCCAACGCGGCCUGCCCUGCACUCCAUCUCCUCACACACGGCCGGCAAGGCGAGGGCCGUCGCUCCCCGCCUGGGGGCUGACGGGCACCCUCCUCACGCUGGGCGCCAGCAUGCCCCCAAGAGCCCUGUCCGCCAUGGCCUCUGUCGCGCGGCUCUCCCUGCCGUGCCGCCUCCCUGCACCCCUGCCCCCCCCGGCCGCUGCGCUUCGCCGCUCACCCUACGCCGCCGCCGCCGCCGCCGCAGCGCCGAUGCGCCCCUAUGCCCUCCACAGCCGGUGGAGGUCUCACGCCGCCGAGGGCGAGGCGCAGGACCAGGUCUAGCAGCUGCAGAACGAUGCUCCCAUAUUGCAGCAUCAUCGAGCGCAAGCAGAAGAAGACCAUCGACGAGAUGGAGCAGGAGUUCCUCCAGGCCAUCAUGUCCAACGAGGAGUUGGAUAACCUCAAAGAGGAGCUCAUGUGGGAAGGCAGCAGCGUUGUCAUGCUAAGUAAUAACCGCGUUCAUGCCCGGAUGAGCAAAGGCUUUUGCAAGCCACCAUGGCAAAUAUCGCUGGCAACCCCAUCAUGACGGAUACUGCUGAAUACGAUGCCCUCAAGUUCAGAUUAAUAGUUAGAUCUAGCUGCCCUAUUAAUCUUUUAUUUUAGUAGUACAGUCAAAGUGAGAUGUUAUUUGAAACACUUUUAAUACUAUUUUGUCACCACCCGCCAAAUCUUUUUGCAAGAACUCGGGCUGUAAUAGAUUCUAGAUGAUCUUUGAUUUAAGUAAGACUGAGGCUGGCUUGAGCCCUAAACCUCUAAAAAAAUGUUUCUGAAAGUGUCAAAAUGGUUCACUGUAAUUCUUAGCUCGUACCAACCAAUAUUACUGCUUGACUAAGGAUAGUUGGUCUCCAUUUCUCAAGUUUAUGACUAGAAUAGCUACAAAGCAAUAGGCAAAAAUAUUCGAUGGAAGAAACUCAAUGGAAUCCUGAAAACCCCAUGUUUGCAUGUUUUGAAACAUUCUAAAUAAAAAUAUGGUCAUGAUUUUUCGAAGAGCUAGAGAAGUUGGCUUAGUUGAAGGUAUUGGCUGCACUGGCACUCUGAAGUUCUUUUUUUAAAAAAAAAACUUGAACACAUAUGCAUUCCUUAUGUUUUUCUUAGUAUGUACAACUAAAAAAAAAAGUAAUUCUACUAUCUUCUAAUUCUAGUCAGAGCUAGCUAAUUGUAAUCAGAGCAGUCCUACAAGGAUCCUACUAGCCCCAAUAUGCACUUCUAGCUAAUUAUUUCCAGUAAGAGCAAUUUUACUGUGAUCCUAUUAAGGCAUGAUGAAGUUUUCCUAAUUCCUCGAUGGAGCCGAGCAGAGGCAGAGCAGCUGAGCAGCGCAGUCGAUUUGUUUGGCGUCAUCCAAUGUUUUAUUUUCCUCUUUUUUACUGGUUUCCCAUAGUAUUCAUUCGCAAGGAUUUUCCUAACUGAGAUUCACAUUUGUCUCUUCGUUUUACAGGUUCUACAUUUAAUUUUGUUUCAUCCAUUUUCAUUUUCAUUUUCUGCUUACUUGGGUUACCUGUAGUUCGAAUCAAACUAUAAGGAAGUGCUACUCACAUUAAUUUGCCCCUUUUAGUUUUCUUGACUUCUUGAUCGACCUUGCAGAUCUAAGGAAGUGCUGAUAAUGGAUAUGUGCUUGCCAAGCUACUGACAGUUUUCAAGCAUCUAAGCAAACAAGUCUCCUACCUGGUCCAUUGGAUUCUUACUACUGGUUCACAGCAGAUUCUUCAUUGAUAUGGACUAUUGGAUUAUAACUAACAAAUGGAAUACUGUGAAGUUUGUGCACUUCAUCCUUCACAUCGCAGAUGAAUGCUUCCAAGGAUUUUUUUCAGCUAAGGACCUGGACAAGAAUGUGGCUCCUCACUUCCAGAAAGCUGACAAAUUUUAUGAUGCCCUUGCCAGACAGCUGGUCAGUCAAGGACGUGCGUUAGAUGUUUCCACAUAUGCUCUUGAUCAGAUUUGUAUGAUACAUUGUUUAGGAAUUUAUGCUUGCUCGGUUUUCAUACCUUCAUUAGUUUUUUAUUUGUCAUGCAAACAAAGCAAGUAAGGUCACGACACCAUCCAUCAGGAGCUGGUGAUAGCAGGGUUGGUAAGCCGCAAAUAAACAUCAGCCAAGAACAAUUAGCCAAAAUAAUAUUUGCAAAUUAGUAGACGUACAUGUACAGUUUUCCCCUGCUUAGUCUCCUAAUUUUGCCAUAGAUCCCUAUGUUUCUAGGAUUAUGUUCAUGAAGUUACUUUUCGUACAGCCAGUAGCUUAUGUUCAGAACUUGAAACAUAUUUGAGACUACAUGCUUGCAAGGGUGCUAGAUUUAGACACAGGCACAUAUACAAAUGCUGAUUUUGUUUGCGUCUUCAAAUGCAGCACAUAAUAACCAGAUUUAUUUAGAGGCAGUAGUUAUUUCCAUUUGCAUUAAUUCAAAAUAAUGUUGCUUCUUCCAACACCCUAUUUUUAGUUAGACCCUGCUACUUUUCAAUAUUAAUCCACUGCAACUCUCUGUUACCAAAAGUAACUAGAAUAUUUUCUCAUUGUUACUGUUCAAUUCAUCCAAAACCUAUUGCUAAUUUAUCGUUUACAUGUUGCUGAUGAUUUUGAUAAGAACCACAUGUCCACAAAUAUGGAGGGACAAAAUCAUCAAACUUAAGUUUGACCGCCACCCAGCCCCUUAUCACCCAUUGUAUAUUGAAUUGCUAAACCUAUACUGCCCUGUGCCAAAAAAAAACCUAUUAAUUCUCAUCUCUAUUACUGUGUUCAACACCUCACAGUUCCAUGUUGGAGAAACUUCUGAAGAUCGUAUUGGAAGUGAUAGAUCAAAAUACUCUGCAUCAUACAUACUUUUAUAGGUCGCAGAUACUUCAAUGCUUUCUUUUCUUGCCAUCACAGAGCAAAAGUAUCUUGAGGGCAUGGUUAAUCCUCCUAGAAUUGAUACGUAAUAUGUUUACCUCUGCUGGUACGUCAUGAAACACUAUUUGGAUCCGACGUCUCCAAAUCCUACCAUGUACAUUUUUCAAAAAAAUACACUAACAACAUCCUUUUACAUGCUUUCCAGCUGCAUAAAUAUCAAGCUAUUUCAGGAACCAAAUAUGGCACCCAUUACAGCCAUGUCCUGAGAAUAUAUCAACCCUAGCUGAUGACUUGUGCAUCUGUGAAGCGCUUAUUAUUUUGCCAAGAAUCAGGUAUUACUAAGCAAUCUAGCUGCGUGCUGCAUGAAACCAACUUAGCGUCCAACAGUGUCCAAGCUCUUACCAAUGAACACUACUUUAUGAUGUAACAGCUAAUGUAUUUACGUCUCUUAUUAACUGCACCUUUAGAGUGCCUGUUCCAAUGACAUGCGUGUUGUAUCACCCCUUAUUACGGUUAUGAGAUCAUCACCGUCUUUUACUCAA